CCCUUAGAUGUCCUGGGCCGCACGCGCGCUACACUGAUGCAUGCAACGAGUUUAUAACCUUGGCCUGAAAGGUCUGGGUAAUCUUUUGAACGUUCAUCGUGAUAGGGAUAGAUUAUUGCAAUUGUUAAUCUUGAACGAGGAAUUCCUAGUAAACGCGAGUCAUCAGCUCGCAUUGAUUACGUCCCUGCCCUUUGUACACACCGCCCGUCGCACCUACCGAUUGAAUGGUUCGGUGAAGAUCUCGGACUUCGAUAUUUAUUCUUUAUUGAGUUUAUAUUGUGGGAAGUUAUCUAAACCUCAUCAUUUAGAGGAAGGUGAAGUCGUAACA
RNAcentral lists this ribosomal RNA (328 nucleotides) under uncultured eukaryote. RNAcentral's name for it is "partial 18S ribosomal RNA". It matches the Rfam family "Eukaryotic small subunit ribosomal RNA", at positions 1470 to 1796 of the family's 1831-position model. The record is from RNAcentral.